GACGAACGCUGGCGGCGUGCCUAAUACAUGCAAGUCGAGCGGACUGAUUAAGAGCUUGCUCUUAUGACGUUAGCGGCGGACGGGUGAGUAACACGUGGGCAACCUGCCCUGUAGAUCGGGAUAACACCGAGAAAUCGGUGCUAAUACCGGGUAAUAUCUGAGAUCACAUGAUCUUAGGUUAAAAGAUGGCUCCGGCUAUCACUACAGGAUGGGCCCGCGGCGCAUUAGCUAGUUGGUAAGGUAAUGGCUUACCAAGGCGACGAUGCGUAGCCGACCUGAGAGGGUGAUCGGCCACACUGGGACUGAGACACGGCCCAGACUCCUACGGGAGGCAGCAAUAGGGAAUCUUCCGCAAUGGACGAAAGUCUGACGGAGCAACGCCGCGUGAGUGAUGAAGGGUUUCGGCUCGUAAAGCUCUGUUGUUAGGGAAGAAACAGUACCGAACGAACUAGGUCGGUACCUUGACGGUACCUAACCAGAAAGCCACGGCUAACUACGUG
This 500-nucleotide ribosomal RNA is filed under the name uncultured bacterium. Its description in RNAcentral is "partial 16S ribosomal RNA". It matches the Rfam family "Bacterial small subunit ribosomal RNA", at positions 28 to 507 of the family's 1533-position model. The record is from RNAcentral.